This is a non-coding RNA of Phrynosoma platyrhinos (Desert horned lizard), 71 nucleotides long. The record is from the annotation of a GenBank genome assembly. Lineage: Eukaryota; Metazoa; Chordata; Lepidosauria; Squamata; Phrynosomatidae.
ACCACUGUGGUGUAGUGGAUUGAGUAUUGGACUAUGAAUUGAAAGACCAAAGUUCAAUUCCUUGCUUGGUC